Molecule: ribosomal RNA, 254 nt
Filed under: uncultured bacterium
Lineage: Bacteria
Description: partial small subunit ribosomal RNA
Rfam family: Bacterial small subunit ribosomal RNA
Source: RNAcentral
AGGACGAACGCUGGCGGCGUGCUUAACACAUGCAAGUCGAGCGGAAAGGCCCUUCGGGGUACUCGAGCGGCGAACGGGUGAGUAACACGUGAGCAACCUGCCCUUAGCUCCGGGAUAGCUCCGGGAAACCGGAAUUAAAUACCGGAUACGACCACGGCCGACAUCUGCUGUGGUGGAAAGGAUUCCGGCUAAGGAUGGGCUCGCGGCCUAUCAGCUUGUUGGUGGGGUAACGCCUACCAAGGCGACGACGGGUA